RNAcentral lists this long non-coding RNA (1187 nucleotides) under Gallus gallus (chicken). Its description in RNAcentral is "long non-coding RNA NONGGAT006929". The record is from RNAcentral. Lineage: Eukaryota; Metazoa; Chordata; Aves; Galliformes; Phasianidae.
CUUAAACGUAGUUGUGGACGCUCUUUAGGUAGGCUCUAAAUUAACUGCAGAUGGAGGAGUAGCACUGGGGGGAACAGCCAAAGGAGCAGGCUGCCCCCCAUCAGCCCUUCCCUCCGCUCUCUGCGCUGCCGGGGGGCACAGGCAGAGCAGUGUUCAGUGCAGGCACCCCAGCUUGCCCUGUCUGCACUCUCAGCGAGGACCUGCAGCAGCUGACGGGCUGCACCAGGGAUUAAAGGAGCCUACGGUCUCUGGCACACCUGCCUCCCAACCUGAAAGCGAACAGCGAUGAGAUGGAGAUCACUGAGCAGAAAAUGGAGGGAGAGGCUCCUCUGCCCUCUUGCCAUGCACCAGGGCAGGGGGCGGCAGGAGGAGCAGACACACUUAAGAUGACUUCUCUAAAGAGGAUCGUGGAGGCGCUAGGAGCCAAAGGCUGUUCAAAGCAUCCGGAGCCUGCAGCAGAGGGAGAGACAUGCAAGUCCUGAACUGGCUAGGGCAACGCCCCCCACGCUUCAACUGUGCGAGGACAUCAAGGAAAGGGGAUUUUUUUGUUGUUGUUUCUUCCCUUUUCCACUUCUCACAUUUCUGCACAAUUACGUUUGAUAAUGACGCCCACCUCCCAAAAGGCUGUGCAUCAAUUAGCAAGGGAAGGAAGGACACACAUCAUUAAUUACACACCGGCCUGCGAAAUACGAACACGGAAUACAGCAUAACGUUCUAAAAAUAGCAGGAGGCCUGCCUUGUUUAGGUCAAGUUUUAUUUUAAUUCCCUUAAUAAAACAUCUGAUAUUAAACAACGGAGCGGAAGACGCGCUGCUGUUUAUCCUCAGUGGGUGCUUCAGACAGAUCUGCUGUGAUUUAAUCUGCACAGCAGAAUGCAAAGCCAUAGAAUGUAAGUUUAUGCGAGCGUGAGACCUAAUAGUUCUUUAAACUUAUGCAGCUCUUAUCAAUCUAAGUGAUCCCAAGCUAUUCUACCUUAUUCUACCUUACAUAUGGGAUUUGUGUUUUGGCAAGAUUCAGAUGUGAUCGAUUAAAUGCUGAGCCAAAAUGCUGGUACGGAUACAGACAGUCAGAGACAAGGAGAAAAGCUACACGCUGCUGUGGGUAUUCACAGACAGGGUUAUAGUGAGCAAAUUCUGCUCAAGUAGGGCUGAGGGAACAGAAAGGGAUGAGAAAAGGACAUGCAGUGCG